This 330-nucleotide ribosomal RNA is filed under the name uncultured eukaryote. Its description in RNAcentral is "partial 18S ribosomal RNA". It matches the Rfam family "Eukaryotic small subunit ribosomal RNA", at positions 1470 to 1796 of the family's 1831-position model. The record is from RNAcentral.
CCCUUAGAUGUUCGGGGCCGCACGCGCGCUACACUGAAGGAAUCAGCACGUCUUUCUCCUUGUCCGAACGGACUGGGUAACCCGCUGAACCUCCUUCGUGCUAGGGAUUGGGGCUUGUAAUUCUUCCCCAUGAACGAGGAAUUCCCAGUAAGCGCGAGUCAUAAGCUCGCGUUGAUUACGUCCCUGCCCUUUGUACACACCGCCCGUCGCUACUACCGAUUGGAUGGUUUAGUGAGAUCCUCGGAUUGGUCCCGGCGCGGCCUCUGGUCGUGCCGGAGUGCCGAAAAGAAUGUCGAACUUGAUCAUCUAGAGGAAGUAAAAGUCGUAACA